Molecule: long non-coding RNA, 1698 nt
Organism: Hippopotamus amphibius kiboko
Lineage: Eukaryota; Metazoa; Chordata; Mammalia; Artiodactyla; Hippopotamidae
Exons: 3
Source: RefSeq, a predicted model, not a curated record
CAGGCUGGAUGUACCUUCCGGAGAGUGUCACUUUCUAAAGAAGAGAAGGCGUUUCACUGUGACAGUUUCACAGUCCCACGAAUAGACUCUUCCAUCCGUAUAAGGACCUUCCUUAGCACAUCUAUAGAAAUGAACAGAAUAUUGAAACCCCAGCAGAGGAGUAACCUCUGCUUUUCUCAUGCUUACAGGGUGCUGACUUGCUUUUCUUGGUUCUCAUACGAUGCAAUCUGACAAUUCAGCAGCUUCCUGUUUGAGGGUUAAUUAUUUUUUUUAAUGCCAAUAGUUAAGAUGUUUAAAUUUGUGAUUCAUUCCCUAUAAUUAGACCUAAUGCUUAGAAUAUAUCCAUGUCUAUGGCAUUCACAUUUCUCCUUCGAGGGCUAUUAUUUUCCCCUCUGAGCAGCUGCCAGUGGACCUAGAUCAUGAAAACAUGAUGAUGAAGGCAACCCUAAAUUUGCAAUCGCCAAGGCCGUGAGUCUGGAGAGCCCCAGCUCUGUCCCUGCAGAAAACCGGCAGCCCCCCAAGCUUCGGACAGGGCUGCUCACUGAAGAAGUGCUCGAGUGAAAUGGAAGAGGUGGCCUUGUCUCUUCCCCAGAUGAGGGAAGGAAUGCAGAGAAGAAAGGGAAAGAGCUGUGAGCUGGGAGGAGGGAAGAUGAAGUGAGAUGGAGAUGGAGAGGGAAGGAAGGAGCCGGAGGAGGAAGAGGGGCCGCCUGCCUUCAAAGGAACAGCAUGCUUGCUUGGCUGUGCCAGCAGCUUAAUGGCUGUCACUCUCGCACCUGGGACUUCCUCUUUCUGCAGACAUACCGAGCUGGUGUUUCACAGGCAAGCGCUACUCCUUUCCGGGAGGAGAGAUGAUGCCAGCUUGGAGUUUUGAGCAACAGAUAUCACUACACUCCAUCCUCACCUCCUUCAUUUAUCCUGAGGCAGCUUCUCCCGGGCUGGGUCCGGGUGCAUGACCACUUGACUCGUUUCAUUGGGUCAAUGAGUCGACUGCUUUUUGGUUUAAUCAAAAUGAACCACAUGAACCACGAAAGCAUGAUAGUCAAAUAGACCGCUAACCCUGAACGAACUAGUUCGUGUCCUACAGCCCUUAACCUGACCCAGAAGACAGCGGCCGCGGGGUCCAGCACGCUGUGCUCCUCACACAGCUGUGGGGCCUGUCUCACCUGAAUGAGGGUUGGGGACUUCACGAUUCUCUUGCCGAGGCCUCAGGUCAGUAACAGAUGGGAGGUGUGAUAGGAGAUGGUUUGCCGUUUGCCAGUGUGUGGCCAACUUAUGAAGGCUGGACUCACCAUCAAAGAGGCUUCAUGGUCCAGGCAGGGUCAGGCAAGGUAAUCUCACAUCAGUCAUUAGUUGGGGGGGCCGUUGAUGUGCACAGAUGUCUGUAGUUGUGAAGGGACUUUCAACAACUUCAUAACCACUCAUAUUCCUCCUUCAAUCAAAAGUCAACCUUCCCUCCCACCUCGGAAGGUCUUAAAGAAGUUAAAAUGGAUCUGAACUGAUGGCCCAGUAACUCCAGUGUGCGCGAGACUCAUCUGGGAAGCUUGUUAAAAGGGCAGCAUCCCAUUUACCCACUAUUAUGUAUAAAAUAGGUAACUAAAUGAGAACCUACUGUAUAGCACAGGGAACUCUAUUCAAUGCUGUGAUGAGCUAAAUGGGAAGGAAAUCUAAACAAGAGGGGAUAUAUGUAUACGUAUAACU